AAGCCGUAACAAGGUCUCCGUAGGUGAACCUGCGGAGGGAUCAUUACAAGAACGCCCGGGCUUCGGCCUGGUUAUUCAUAACCCCUUGUUGUCCGACUCUGUUGCCUCCGGGGCGACCCUGCCUUCGGGCGGGGGCUCCGGGUGGACACUUCAAACUCUUGCGUAACUUUGCAGUCUGAGUAAACUUAAUUAAUAAAUUAAAACUUUUAACAACGGAUCUCUUGGUUCUGGCAUCGAUGAAGAACGCAGCGAAAUGCGAUAAGUAAUGUGAAUUGCAGAAUUCAGUGAAUCAUCGAAUCUUUGAACGCACAUUGCGCCCCCUGGUAUUCCGGGGGGCAUGCCUGUUCGAGCGUCAUUUCACCACUCAAGCCUCGCUUGGUAUUGGGCAACGCGGUCCGCCGCGUGCCUCAAAUCGUCCGGCUGGGUCUUCUGUCCCCUAAGCGUUGUGGAAACUAUUCGCUAAAGGGUGUUCGGGAGGCUACGCCGUAAAACAACCCCAUUUCUAAGGUUGACCUCGGAUCAGGUAGGGAUACCCGCUGAACUUAA
RNAcentral lists this ribosomal RNA (546 nucleotides) under uncultured fungus. Its description in RNAcentral is "eukaryotic LSU rRNA". The stretch from base 202 to 355 matches the Rfam family "5.8S ribosomal RNA". The record is from RNAcentral. Lineage: Eukaryota; Fungi.